This is a long non-coding RNA of Cyprinus carpio carpio, 906 nucleotides long. NCBI's taxonomy places the organism in Eukaryota, Metazoa, Chordata, Actinopteri, Cypriniformes, Cyprinidae. The record is from Ensembl.
GUCUGUAUUCAAAAGCUACAAAAGAAAUCAAACAUGUAGAUCUGAUCAUCUUCUCUGCAUCUAUAUCAGACUCUGCUCUGUACUAUGUGCUCUGCAGCCCUCAGUGACAGGAAACACAAUACAGUGCAGAAAACGGUGGCGAGGAAGGAGGGGCUUAAAGUACUGUAUAUCUGACAGUAGUUUGUCAAAACUGACAUAAGAUCAUUUCAUCUGAGACUGUAAGAAAAAACACAAUGAUUCUCCAUUCAGUUAUUCUGCUCUCUGCUUUAGCAUGUGCCAGUAACGGAGAUACCAUUAAACCAGACAAAACAGAGGAGUUUGUUGCAGAGGGUUCAAGUGUUAACUUAUCCUGCAGUUAUUCAUCUGCAUGGUCUUUACUUUGGUACCGUCAGUAUCCCGGAUCAGCUCCUGAGUUCCUUGUGCUCAUCUCAGAUGGAGAAAAAGAAGCUCAGACGUCUAAAGUGGAUCAAAGAUUCAGUACUAAUAAUAGAAAAGAAGAACAAAAUCGUGUGGAUCUAAUCAUCUCCUCUGUUGCAGUAUCAGACUCUGCUCUGUACUACUGUGCUCUGAGGCCCACAGUGACAGGAAACACAAGAACACUGUACAAAAACCUGACUCUAAAAAGAAACAAUAGUCUUCUACAGACAGAGAGAAAUGUGACCCUUAAAUUGUGAAUUCCAGAUUCUAGACCCCUCUGGUAUCUAAGCAUUUUGCCAAUUCAGAAAAGACUAAAACAAUAUGGCAGAAAUCAACUUUUCACAUGCACAAAUGUGCUCAAUACAUUGUGUAAAGGCACACUUUCUUUAAAUCAUUUACUUUACUGCAAGGAAUAAAAAGGCACAUAAUGCCCAUUACUAAAGGCUUUACAAUUUAGAGAUCACGCAUUUGUUCAAAAACAUAUUCAGG